This 450-nucleotide ribosomal RNA is filed under the name uncultured bacterium. RNAcentral's name for it is "bacterial SSU rRNA". It matches the Rfam family "Bacterial small subunit ribosomal RNA", at positions 354 to 796 of the family's 1533-position model. The record is from RNAcentral.
GUGGGGAAUUUUGGACAAUGGGGGCAACCCUGAUCCAGCCAUGCCGCGUGCGGGAAGAAGGCCUUCGGGUUGUAAACCGCUUUUAGUCGGGAAGAAAAGGCGCGGCCUAAUACGUCGCGUUCUUGACGGUACCGGCGGAAUAAGCACCGGCUAACUACGUGCCAGCAGCCGCGGUAAUACGUAGGGUGCGAGCGUUAAUCGGAAUUACUGGGCGUAAAGCGUGCGCAGGCGGUUCGUUAAGUCUGAUGUGAAAGCCCCGGGCUCAACCUGGGAAUGGCAUUGGAAACUGGCGGGCUUGAGUGUGGCAGAGGGGGGUGGAAUUCCGCGUGUAGCAGUGAAAUGCGUAGAGAUGCGGAGGAACACCGAUGGCGAAGGCAGCCCCCUGGGCUAACACUGACGCUCAGGCACGAAAGCGUGGGGAGCAAACAGGAUUAGAAACCCUUGUAGUCC